Molecule: ribosomal RNA, 1239 nt
Filed under: Triticum aestivum (bread wheat)
Lineage: Eukaryota; Viridiplantae; Streptophyta; Magnoliopsida; Poales; Poaceae
Description: partial small subunit ribosomal RNA
Source: RNAcentral
AUGAUUUCCUCCGUGCACUUGCUGCGCCUGCUUCUUCUUAUUCUUCUUCUUCUCCUGGCCUCCGUCACGCUCACGUUCGAGUUCGACGCCGGUAUUUCCUUCCAGGCCCGGUACGAGGCCUACAAAGCAAAGCACGCACCGCCACCCAACUCCCUCGUCGUCACCCGCAGACCCCGCAGUCCCCUCGUCACUCUCCCGGGCACGUCCGAGUCCGAGUACCACGUCGUCGUCGGGUACGGCACUCCGGCGCAGAACCUCACCGUGGGGUUCGACGCCGGGGCGGGCGGAGCCACGCUCCUCCAUUGCAACUGCAAGCCAGGCGCCUUCGACCCGUCCCGGUCCUCCUCCGUCGCCCAUGUCCCGUGCGGCUCGCCGGACUGCCCGCUGGAAGCUUGCUCCGGACGGGGCUGCGCCAGCACCACCGUGGCCAAGAACGGCGCCGUGAUAUCGAGUGUCACCGUCGUGACAGACACGCUCACGUUCUCGCCGUCCACGCCGACCACCGUGGAUAACUUCAGGGCCAGCUGCAUGGAGAUGGGCGGCAGAACGGCUGGCCGCUCAUCCGGCCUUCUCGAUCUCGGCCGGGACAGCCACUCACUGCCGUCCCGAGCCCCUUCGUCUCCGGACACGGCGGCCUUCUCCUACUGCCUGCCGACUUGGACAGGCGCCCGGGGCUUCCUCUCCAUCGGCGCACCCCUGCCAGGCCCAGGACGCAAGGUGAGCUACACCCCGCUACGGAGCAACGCGGCCCUCCCCAACUCAUACUUCGUCCGGCUCGCCGGGUUAAGCCUAGGCACCGGUAGGCCGGUCAUCCCGGUCCCCGCCGGCGACGCGCUCAUGGCGCUGCGCACCACCUUCACCUACCUGAUGCCGGAGACCUACGCGGCCCUCCGCGACCAGUUCAAAGAGCAGAUGGCGCAGUAUCCGGUGGCGCCGCCGAUGGGUUUCCUCGACACGUGCUACAACUUCACCGGCCUGAGGAAGAUCGACGUGCCGCCCGUGACGCUCACGUUCGAUAGCGGCGCGAGCCUGGAGCUCGGCAUCCGGCAGAUGAUGUACUUCGAGGACCGCGACUACGUCUUCUCGGCAGGGUGCCUCGCGUUUGCCGCGCCGGCAUGGGCUGUCUACCCGGCCGGGGUCGCGGCGGUCAUCGGCACCUUGGCGCAGGAGACGACGGAGGUGGUGUACGACGUUCAUGCGGACAUGGUUGGCUUCGUCCCCGACCGCUGCGAACAAUAG